RNAcentral lists this ribosomal RNA (292 nucleotides) under uncultured Sporichthyaceae bacterium. RNAcentral describes it as "partial 16S ribosomal RNA". It matches the Rfam family "Bacterial small subunit ribosomal RNA", at positions 505 to 796 of the family's 1533-position model. Lineage: Bacteria; Bacillati; Actinomycetota; Actinomycetes; Sporichthyales; Sporichthyaceae. The record is from RNAcentral.
GUGUCAGCAGCCGCGGUAAUACAUAGGGUGCAAGCGUUGUCCGGAAUUAUUGGGCGUAAAGAGCUCGUAGGUGGUUCGAUACGUCGGAUGUGAAAAUCAGGGGCUCAACCCCUUACCUGCAUCCGAUACGGUCGAGCUAGAGUUUGGUAGGGGAGACUGGAAUUCCUGGUGUAGCGGUGGAAUGCGCAGAUAUCAGGAGGAACACCGAUGGCGAAGGCAGGUCUCUGGGCCAAUACUGACACUGAGGAGCGAAAGCGUGGGGAGCGAACAGGAUUAGAUACCCCCGUAGUCC